RNAcentral lists this long non-coding RNA (318 nucleotides) under Hordeum vulgare. RNAcentral's name for it is "long non-coding RNA (HVUL_LNC019775)". Lineage: Eukaryota; Viridiplantae; Streptophyta; Magnoliopsida; Poales; Poaceae. The record is from RNAcentral.
CUAAACCUAUUGCUAAACCUAGAUAGCACUAAACAGCAAAAAAAUAACAAAAACAAAAUCUACCACUAAGUAACUAAAAAAGUAUCUAGCUGCCACUAAAUACCAAACAAUAAAAAAUCAACUUCUUCUUCUUUUUUCUCUUCUUCUGCUUCUUAUUUUUUCUUGUUCUCUUGUUCUCUUCUUCUUUACUUCUUCUCCUUCUUAUUUUUUUCUUCUCUUCUUCUUCUUCUUCUUCUCCUUCUUAUGUUUUCUUCUCCUCUUCUUCUUCUUCUUCUUCUUCUUCUUCUUCUUCUUCUUCUUCUUCUUCUUUUUUUCUUC